Molecule: ribosomal RNA, 397 nt
Filed under: uncultured bacterium
Lineage: Bacteria
Description: partial 16S ribosomal RNA
Rfam family: Bacterial small subunit ribosomal RNA
Source: RNAcentral
AUACGUAGGUGGCAAGCGUUGUCCGGAAUUAUUGGGCGUAAAGCGCGCGCAGGUGGUUCCUUAAGUCUGAUGUGAAAGCCCCCGGCUCAACCGGGGAGGGUCAUUGGAAACUGGGGAACUUGAGUGCAGAAGAGGAAAGUGGAAUUCCAAGUGUAGCGGUGAAAUGCGUAGAGAUUUGGAGGAACACCAGUGGCGAAGGCGACUUUCUGGUCUGUAACUGACGCUGAGGCGCGAAAGCGUGGGGAGCAAACAGGAUUAGAUACCCUGGUAGUCCACGCCGUAAACGAUGAGUGCUAAGUGUUAGGGGGUUUCCGCCCCUUAGUGCUGCAGCUAACGCAUUAAGCACUCCGCCUGGGGAGUACGGUCGCAAGACUGAAACUCAAAGGAAUUGACGGGG